GAUGAACGCUGGCGGCAUGCUUUACACAUGCAAGUCGAGCGGCAGCGCGGGGGGCAACCCUGGCGGCGAGCGGCGAACGGGUGAGUAAUGCAUCGGAACGUACCCUGGAGUGGGGGAUAACGCCGCGAAAGCGGCGCUAAUACCGCAUAUGCUCUGAGGAGGAAAGUGGGGGACCGCAAGGCCUCACGCUCUGGGAGCGGCCGAUGUCCGAUUAGCUAGUUGGUGAGGUAAAGGCUUACCAAGGCGACGAUCGGUAGCUGGUCUGAGAGGAUGAUCAGCCACACUGGGACUGAGACACGGCCCAGACUCCUACGGGAGGCAGCAGUGGGGAAUUUUGGACAAUGGGGGCAACCCUGAUCCAGCCAUGCCGCGUGAGUGAAGAAGGCCUUCGGGUUG
RNAcentral lists this ribosomal RNA (396 nucleotides) under uncultured bacterium. RNAcentral describes it as "bacterial SSU rRNA". It matches the Rfam family "Bacterial small subunit ribosomal RNA", at positions 28 to 425 of the family's 1533-position model. The record is from RNAcentral.